Molecule: ribosomal RNA, 796 nt
Filed under: uncultured Methanosarcinaceae archaeon
Lineage: Archaea; Methanobacteriati; Methanobacteriota; Methanomicrobia; Methanosarcinales; Methanosarcinaceae
Description: bacterial SSU rRNA
Rfam family: Archaeal small subunit ribosomal RNA
Source: RNAcentral
ACGGCUCAGUAACACGUGGAUAACCUGCCCUUGGGUCCGGCAUAACCCCGGGAAACUGGGGAUAAUUCCGGAUAACGCACAUAUGCUGGAAUGCUUUAUGCGUAAAAUGGAUUCGUCUGCCCAAGGAUGGGUCUGCGGCCUAUCAGGUAGUAGUGGGUGUAAUGUACCUACUAGCCAACAACGGGUACGGGUUGUGAGAGCAAGAGCCCGGAGAUGGAUUCUGAGACAUGAAUCCAGGCCCUACGGGGCGCAGCAGGCGCGAAAACUUUACAAUGCGGGAAACCGUGAUAAGGGGACACCGAGUGCCAGCAUCAUAUGCUGGCUGUCCAGGUGCGUAAACUACACCUGUUAGCAAGGGCCGGGCAAGACCGGUGCCAGCCGCCGCGGUAACACCGGCGGCCCGAGUGGUGAUCGUGAUUAUUGGGUCUAAAGGGUCCGUAGCCGGUUUGGUCAGUCCUCCGGGAAAUCUGAUAGCUCAACUAUUAGGCUUUCGGGGGAUACUGCCAGGCUUGGAACCGGGAGAGGUAAGAGGUACUACAGGGGUAGGAGUGAAAUCUUGUAAUCCCUGUGGGACCACCUGUGGCGAAGGCGUCUUACCAGAACGGGUUCGACGGUGAGGGACGAAAGCUGGGGGCACGAACCGGAUUAGAUACCCGGGUAGUCCCAGCCGUAAACGAUGCUCGCUAGGUGUCAGGCAUGGCGCGACCGUGUCUGGUGCCGCAGGGAAGCCGUGAAGCGAGCCACCUGGGAAGUACGGCCGCAAGGCUGAAACUUAAAGGAAUUGGCGGGGGAGCAC